Molecule: long non-coding RNA, 2799 nt
Organism: Panicum virgatum (switchgrass)
Lineage: Eukaryota; Viridiplantae; Streptophyta; Magnoliopsida; Poales; Poaceae
Exons: 2
Source: RefSeq, a predicted model, not a curated record
CCCCCCCCCGCGACAUCGCCUCCCCCUCGCGGCAGCGUCGUGGGUCGUGGCGGCGGCGGCGUCGAGCUCCGUGGCCGCGCGAGGUCCGCAUCCUGGACCCGAAGGAGGGCGGCGUCGUGGACCUCCCUGGGGUCGACGGCGCCGACCGCGAGGAGGCGGCGGCGGCGGCGAGGGCGAUGGCAAGGGCGCGCGAGUGCGGCGUCUACGUCGGGCACCGCGGGCCGCCGUGGACGCGGCCGUGGUCGGGGUGCUCGUCGUCACGCCGGCGACAUUCCGCAACCCCUACACCUUCGAGGACGUCCGGGCCUUCCUGGACCACGGCGCGGCAUCCGAGCAGCCGAUGCAUCCGAGUGGCGCCUGCACGCUCGGCCCCUCCCUCCUCCGCGGGCCGCGCCCCCUCCGAUGCGCCCCGGCCCCCGCCCCUACCCUGCAGCUGCCUCCGAGAACACCAGCCUCCCCCCGCGCCCCGUCUCCCGCGCCCGCGGCCGCGCGCCGUGCCUCUCCGCCGCACUUCAAAAGUGGUCCUACCCCGCUGCCGCCACCAAUGCCGAGCCAGCUGGCACCUCCCCGCACUGCUGAAUCAUGUCCCGCUCCCACGAAAAUAGCUGCAAAAUUCUGGUGAUUAAUAUUUAUGUUUGCUGCUUUCCAUGUUUUUUUCCGAACAAAUUGAUUUCCAUGUUUUCUCCCACACACGUUUCAGGCAAGGUCGCCCUAAAACACGACGAUACGCGCGAGCGUCGCCUCGUCCGGCCGCCAAGCGUCGGCCGGCCGCUGAUUUGAAGGAGAACAUACUGAGCUGUGGCAGCAGAUAGGCAAUCUUCUAUAGAACAGAUUCAGAAGCUCUGCGAACUUUUCAGCAAGUGUGAUUGCACACUGCUGGAGGUAUGCAGUGAGAAAAGGUUCUCAUUUGUAUUGCUUAGGUUGCAUCCCUUGAUUCCGUUGAUACUAUUGCUCAUUUGUAUUGCAUACUAUUGCUCAGAUUUCCAAUGAUUGCAUCCCUUGAUUCCGUUGCAAUGUUUUGUUGUAAGAUAUGUAGUCCUAAGAAAUUAGGUUGUUCAUAGCUUCUAAUUUAUCACUAUAUAUAAGUUAUUUAUGAUUUAACUGGCUUCUUGCAGGGUCUGAGAGGACUUUAUGCGUGCUUUUAUCCUCCACUUUCUCAACGCAGGUGCCUCCACCUCGACGCAGGCGUCGCCUCCUUGUCCUCGCUCAAGUGCUCAGAAGAUGAAACGAAGAGAAGACUGGAGAGCUCGCCAAAUCACGCUGCCUCCCUUGCUCAUCCUCUCUCCUCCCACGGUUGGCAACCCCAGGCAACAAAAGGUAAGCAAUCCCCUUCACAGCCGCCCACAGCUUGCGUGUCCAGCAGAAGAGGUCACCUCUUAUCCUUCUCUAUUUACCAUUCGAGCAGUCUGUGAUUCGUUGAUUGAAUGAGACUUAACUGUGGAGUUUUUUGUUUUGUGUGUGCAUGUGAAGAACUGCAGAUAUGUAUUGCUGGAAUAUGCGCAGCAGAGUGGUGGUGGAGUUGCUCGUGCUCAGAUCGUAACCUGCAGUUUGAAUUUGAUUAACUUCUGAACCUAAACUCAAUGUAUUUGUAAAAGUAGAGCAAAUUGCAUCAUUUAGGGAUUUUUCUAUUUGCAUCGUGAUAUGUUUGGCUUUCUGGUGGCAGUAUGGCACACCUCCAGAUAUCUGUUUGGAGUUUGGACGGGAUCAGAUAUGCAUAGAUAGUGAUAGACAUCCAACAAUUCUAUAUUAGAUUUGAAAUCUUCUAAUCAAUGUAAUUGGUAGGGAAAUUCAAGUAACGAGUCAAAAUGUAGGCUAGCAACUGUAACUGAAUUCAGCAUGGCAGAAGAUGUAGGUGCUUAUCUGGAGAGUUGCCUUUAUCAAUUCCUGCAAUAUAUAUUUAUCUAGAAACAAAUUUGAGCUGUAACUGCACAUACUUUACUCUAGAUUUUUUAUUUUUUUUAUUUAUGUGGAGGUAGAAAACAAUUGUUGGUGUUGGUUCGAUUGAAGUGGACAUAAAUCAACAAGGUAAAAGAACACAGGUAGGCAGCAUAGUAAACAUGAUAAGAAUAGUAUGGUUUACAUACAACAACAACAACAUAGCCUUUUUUCCCAAGCAAGUUGGGGUAGGCUAAUUGUAUGGUUUACAUGAAAACAACAAUUUCAUAUGAAGAGAUCAGUUAAUACACCAUGACAUGGUUAUUUUAGAACAAUUUUUCUUGUGAAUGACUCCAGAGGAAGAUAUAAAAUGCAGGUAGCAUUGUAAACAACUAUCUGUGAUUUUCAGCAAUGGAUUUUGCUGGAUAGUUUUAUAAGUUCAGAUUUGAUUAGUGAUUUUCAGUAAAUAUAUCUGUGCAUGGUAAACAAUUACGUAUUUUUCUUAAUUCAGAUUUGAUCGCGCAUGGAUUGGGAUCAUGUGCCUGUGGCCCUAACAAAACAAAUGAAACUGUAUUUUUGUUCUUUUCAGAUUCUAAUGUUCCCAUGUGCUGCAACCUUCAGUAUUUAUGUGACGGCUAAAACAGCUCCAAAACAAGAAGUGUAACAACUGUAAUCUGAUCUCGCCUUGAGAAUUUUAAGGCAUGCUUUGUUUUCUAAUGUAGACAUAAUCUGUAUGCAAUGUUGGCACAUAGCUAAGCUAUAAACGUUGCCACCUAAGCCAGUUAGAACUAGGCCUCAUCUUUUUCUGCACUUUGCCCAUGUGUAUUUUACUGGUUCAUUACAAUACUGUGAAAUGUGAAAAGUAAUUUGAUUUUCGUUUUUAAUGUCAAUGUUUAAAAACAGGAUAUUCAGCUUGGGAUUCUA